CUUGUACCUGGCUCUUGGCUGCCAGUUUUCAUACUGCUUCUGCAAAUUCGCACCAAUGGUUUCCAGAGCUUUCUGAGGACCCAUUGACAGAGGAUCUAUCCAGCACUCCAGGCGGGCACACGGAGUGGUCUUCACCACAUCAGGAGGGUCCACACCGACAUUUAGGCACAAAACUAAGGCAACGCUAACAGUCUUCAUCCGGUCCUUCAUCCUCCAGCUCUGCGCCAAAGACUUGGAGCCCUCGAUCUUCUCACAGUGCCUCUUCUUCAUGAAGGCCAGAGGCAGGUUCCAGUCCGUCAGGUCCGACUCAUCCUCCUCCCCCAGCCCCAGGAGGGGCGACUGCAGCAGCUCGGACUCCAUCGAGGCGAGAGCUCCGGGCACUGAGGGAGCGGCAGCCCCCGGCCCGGCUCGCGGCGGGCGGAGGGCGGCGGAGUGGGCCGAGGACGGCCAAGGGCAGAGGGCGGCCCCGCGGAGCGCCGAGCUGCCGGCGGGGCCCGGGCCUCCCCUCGCGCCUUUAGCCCCGCGGGCCCCGCGCUCGCUGCGGCGGGAGCCGCGUCCGGCCCAUGGCGGCUCCGCGCUCCCUCGCGCUCCGGCGGGCCGCGAGCGGAUCGGUGAAAGGCGAGGCAGGAGCGGGCAGCGGAGAGCGGAGGGCAGAAGCGACCCGCGGCGCCGGCAGCGCGACUCCCCUCAGCAGCGCAGCC
RNAcentral lists this long non-coding RNA (701 nucleotides) under Gallus gallus (chicken). The record is from RNAcentral. Lineage: Eukaryota; Metazoa; Chordata; Aves; Galliformes; Phasianidae.